GACGAACGCUGGCGGCGUGUUUAACACAUGCAAGUCGAACGGAAAGGCCUCUUUCGGGGGGUACUCGAGUGGCGAACGGGUGAGUAACACGUGAGUAACCUGCCCUUGACUUUGGGAUAACUUCAGGAAACUGGGGCUAAUACCGGAUAGGAGCUCCUGCUGCAUGGUGGGGGUUGGAAAGUUUCGGCGGUUGGGGAUGGACUCGCGGCUUAUCAGCUUGUUGGUGGGGUAGUGGCUUACCAAGGCUUUGACGGGUAGCCAGCCUGAGAGGGUGACCGGCCACAUUGGGACUGAGAUACGGCCCAGACUCCUACGGGAGGCAGCAGUGGGGAAUAUUGCACAAUGGGUGGAAGCCUGAUGCAGCAACGCCGUGUGCGGGAUGACGGCCUUCGGGUUGUAAACCGCUUUCGCUCAUGACGAAGCUUUGUGUGACGGUAGUGGGUAAAGAAGCACCGGCUAACUACGUG
Molecule: ribosomal RNA, 467 nt
Filed under: uncultured bacterium
Lineage: Bacteria
Description: partial 16S ribosomal RNA
Rfam family: Bacterial small subunit ribosomal RNA
Source: RNAcentral